RNAcentral lists this ribosomal RNA (1244 nucleotides) under metagenome. Its description in RNAcentral is "bacterial SSU rRNA". It matches the Rfam family "Bacterial small subunit ribosomal RNA", at positions 251 to 1520 of the family's 1533-position model. The record is from RNAcentral.
GGUGAGGUAACGGCCCACCAAGGCAACGAUCGGUAGCCGGACUGAGAGGUUGAACGGCCACAUUGGGACUGAGACACGGCCCAGACUCCUACGGGAGGCAGCAGUGGGGAAUAUUGCACAAUGGGGGAAACCCUGAUGCAGCGACGCCGCGUGGAGGAAGAAGGUCUUCGGAUUGUAAACUCCUGUUGUUGAGGAAGACAAUGACGGUACUCAACAAGGAAGUGACGGCUAACUACGUGCCAGCAGCCGCGGUAAAACGUAGGUCACAAGCGUUGUCCGGAAUUACUGGGUGUAAAGGGAGCGCAGGCGGGAAGACAAGUUGGAAGUGAAAUCUAUGGGCUCAACCCAUAAACUGCUUUCAAAACUGUUUUUCUAGAGUAGUGCAGAGGUAGGCGGAAUUCCCGGUGUAGCGGUGGAAUGCGUAGAUAUCGGGAGGAACACCAGUGGCGAAGGCGGCCUACUGGGCACCAACUGACGCUGAGGCUCGAAAGUGUGGGUAGCAAACAGGAUUAGAUACCCUGGUAGUCCACACCGUAAACGAUGAUUACUAGGUGUUGGAGGAUUGACCCCUUCAGUGCCGCAGUUAACACAAUAAGUAAUCCACCUGGGGAGUACGACCGCAAGGUUGAAACUCAAAGGAAUUGACGGGGGCCCGCACAAGCAGUGGAGUAUGUGGUUUAAUUCGACGCAACGCGAAGAACCUUACCAAGUCUUGACAUCCUGCGACGCACAUAGAAAUAUGUGUUUCCUUCGGGACGCAGAGACAGGUGGUGCAUGGUUGUCGUCAGCUCGUGUCGUGAGAUGUUGGGUUAAGUCCCGCAACGAGCGCAACCCUUACUGUCAGUUACUACGCAAGAGGACUCUGGCAGGACUGCCGUUGACAAAACGGAGGAAGGUGGGGAUGACGUCAAAUCAUCAUGCCCUUUAUGACUUGGGCUACACACGUACUACAAUGGCGUUAAACAAAGAGAAGCAAGACCGCGAGGUGGAGCAAAACUCAGAAACAACGUCCCAGUUCGGACUGCAGGCUGCAACUCGCCUGCACGAAGUCGGAAUUGCUGGUAAUCGUGGAUCAGCAUGCCACGGUGAAUACGUUCCCGGGCCUUGUACACACCGCCCGUCACACCAUGAGAGCCGGGGGGACCCGAAGUCGGUAGUCUAACCGCAAGGAGGACGCCGCCGAAGGUAAAACUGGUGAUUGGGGUGAAGUCGUAACAAGGUAGCCGUAGGAGAACCUGCGGCUG